GACCCGCACUGAUGGCCUGUAGUUUGGUAAGAUAUGCAGCCUCACCUCCUGCAGAAGUGAGAGAGAGAGACUACUGGACUCCCGAUCUAGUGUAAGUGGCCCUUCUUCUUGCUAGCGUUAUAAUAACGCGUUACUAGCAUAGCUAACAUACUAACUACUAAAACUAACAUUUUAACAUACUAAGUACUAAAACGACAUCAUCAUUUAUCAUUCGAUUUUUCAUUUUUUUCUUUGUUUUUUUUUUCAGGUCCCCCACAAUGGAUCACCACGUUGCCGUCGUGUGGGGGCUUGCGUACUCCUGUGAUUCUAAGGUUGAGGUCAGCAAUGGUCUAACCAUGCUGAACCGGCCAAGGAAGAGGAGUCCGACUAAGAGUGAUCCAAACCCUGCACCUACUUUUUGUAAUGUUUUUUGUUUAAAUUUUUUUUCCCUUCGACAUGAGCGACACACGGCACUACCACUUGGGGAGAGAGCAGAGGCAAGACAGAUGGGCGGAUAGACAAGCAGACGAGAUUCCAGCAUCCAUCCACUAUCGUCUGUCUUCAAGAGAGGACAGAGUGAUCGAGUCAUCCCAGAUUUAUUGAGUCAUCCCAGUCAUCCAGGUCUCUCUCCACGACAGAACCACUUGACGACUGAUUGCGUGAGCAGAGCUGGUUGGGUAUGAGGUGAAACGUAUGCACGCAUGUUCUUGCCACACACGCACAUAUGUUCAUCUCUAUAUUCGCGAUUCGCGAUUCGUAUUAUCUCGUUAUUCGUUAUUCGUAUAUUGCGGCUCGUUAUUCGCGUAUUGCGGCUCGUUAUUCGCGUAUUGCGGCUCGUUAUUCGUAUAUUGCGGCUCGUUAUUCGCGUUGC
Molecule: long non-coding RNA, 850 nt
Organism: Priapulus caudatus
Lineage: Eukaryota; Metazoa; Priapulida; Priapulimorpha; Priapulimorphida; Priapulidae
Exons: 2
Source: RefSeq, a predicted model, not a curated record